RNAcentral lists this ribosomal RNA (465 nucleotides) under uncultured bacterium. RNAcentral's name for it is "partial 16S ribosomal RNA". It matches the Rfam family "Bacterial small subunit ribosomal RNA", at positions 28 to 507 of the family's 1533-position model. The record is from RNAcentral.
GACGAACGCUGGCGGCGUGCUUAGCACAUGCCAGUCGAACGGAAAGGCCCCUUUGGGGGUACUCGAGUGGCGAACGGGUGAGUAACACGUGAGUAACCUGCCCUUGACUUCGGGAUAACUUCAGGAAACUGGGGCUAAUACCGGAUAGGAAUCCUUGCUGCAUGGUGGGGGUUGGAAAGCUUCGGCGGUUUUGGAUGGACUCGCGGCUUAUCAGCUUGUUGGUGGGGUAGUGGCUUACCAAGGCUUUGACGGGUAGCCGGCCUGAGAGGGCGACCGGCCACAUUGGGACUGAGAUACGGCCCAGACUCCUACGGGAGGCAGCAGUGGGGAAUAUUGCACAAUGGGCGAAAGCCUGAUGCAGCAACGCCGCGUGCGGGAUGACGGCCUUCGGGUUGUAAACCGCUUUCAGCAGGGGCGAAGCUUGUGGUGACGGUACCUGCAGAAGAAGCACCGGCUAACUACGUG